This 275-nucleotide ribosomal RNA is filed under the name uncultured bacterium. RNAcentral's name for it is "partial 16S ribosomal RNA". It matches the Rfam family "Bacterial small subunit ribosomal RNA", at positions 338 to 604 of the family's 1533-position model. The record is from RNAcentral.
CCUACGGGUGGCUGCAGUGGGGAAUAUUGGGCAAUGGGCGAAAGCCUGACCCAGCCAUGCCGCGUGAGUGAUGAAGGCCUUCGGGUCGUAAAGCUCUGUGGGGAGGGAAGAACAAGCUCGUGGCUAACAUCCACGGGCCCUGACGGUACCUCCUUAGCAAGCACCGGCUAACUCCGUGCCAGCAGCCGCGGUAAUACGGAGGGUGCAAACGUUGCUCGGAAUCAUUGGGCGUAAAGCGCACGUAGGCGGCUCGUUAAGUCGGGUGUGAAAGCCCU